AGUGAGAAAUUAGUUCCAAGCUUUUUCCCAUUUGUGAAGUAGAGAAGCAAGAAGGCAAGUAAGAAGGCAAGGAAGUCUAGAGAAGGAAGAGAAAGUCUAGCAAAAGGGUGAGUAUUAGCUUGUGGAGGUGUUGAAGCUUCAAAGUCUAAGAGGGAUUCUUGGCUUGUGAGAGUGUAAAGCUUCAAGGAAACAAGGUGGAGAAACAUCCAAGGGAAAGGGAGUUUUGCAAGGGUGAAGGUAUUGAAGCAAAGAG
Molecule: long non-coding RNA, 253 nt
Organism: Diospyros lotus (date-plum)
Lineage: Eukaryota; Viridiplantae; Streptophyta; Magnoliopsida; Ericales; Ebenaceae
Exons: 3
Source: RefSeq, a predicted model, not a curated record